RNAcentral lists this ribosomal RNA (375 nucleotides) under uncultured organism. Its description in RNAcentral is "partial 16S ribosomal RNA". It matches the Rfam family "Archaeal small subunit ribosomal RNA", at positions 477 to 851 of the family's 1478-position model. The record is from RNAcentral.
CAGCUCCUCGAGUGGUAGGGACGAUUAUUUGGCCUAAAGCGUUCGUAGCCGGCUUAGCAAGUCUUUCGUGAAAUCCGGCGACUCAAUCGUCGGGCGUGCGAAAAAUACUGUUAGGCUUGAGGGCGGGAGAAGUCGACGGUAUUCCUGGAGUAGGAGCGAAAUCUUAUAAUCCUUGUAGGACCACCAGUGGCGAAGGCGUCAGACUGGAACGCGCUCGACGGUGAGGGACGAAAGCUAGGGGAGCGAACCGGAUUAGAAACCCGGAUAGUCCUAGCUGUAAACGAUGCGGGCUAGGUGUUGGGGUGGCUACGGGCCACUUCAGUGCCGCAUGGAAGCAAUUAAGCCCGCCGCCUGGGGAGUACGGCCGCAAGGCUG